AGUUUGAUCAUGGCUCAGAUUGAACGCUGGCGGCAGGCUUAACACAUGCAAGUCGAGCGGGGAAAGGUAGCUUGCUACCUUACCUAGCGGCGGACGGGUGAGUAAUGCUUAGGAAUCUGCCUAUUAGUGGGGGACAACAUUUCGAAAGGAAUGCUAAUACCGCAUACGCCCUACGGGGGAAAGCAGGGGAUCUUCGGACCUUGCGCUAAUAGAUGAGCCUAAGUCGGAUUAGCUAGUUGGUGGGGUAAAGGCCUACCAAGGCGACGAUCUGUAGCGGGUCUGAGAGGAUGAUCCGCCACACUGGGACUGAGACACGGCCCAGACUCCUACGGGAGGCAGCAGUGGGGAAUAUUGGACAAUGGGGGGAACCCUGAUCCAGCCAUGCCGCGUGUGUGAAGAAGGCCUUUUGGUUGUAAAGCACUUUAAGCGAGGAGGAGGCUACUCUAGUUAAUACCUAGGGAUAGUGGACGUUACUCGCAGAAUAAGCACCGGCUAACUCUGUGCCAGCAGCCGCGGUAAUACAGAGGGUGCAAGCGUUAAUCGGAUUUACUGGGCGUAAAGCGUGCGUAGGUGGCCAAUUAAGUCAAAUGUGAAAUCCCCGAGCUUAACUUGGGAAUUGCAUUCGAUACUGGUUGGCUAGAGUAUGGGAGAGGAUGGUAGAAUUCCAGGUGUAGCGGUGAAAUGCGUAGAGAUCUGGAGGAAUACCGAUGGCGAAGGCAGCCAUCUGGCCUAAUACUGACACUGAGGUACGAAAGCAUGGGGAGCAAACAGGAUUAGAUACCCUGGUAGUCCAUGCCGUAAACGAUGUCUACUAGCCGUUGGGGUCUUUGAGACUUUAGUGGCGCAGCUAACGCGAUAGUAGACCGCCUGGGAGUAC
This 877-nucleotide ribosomal RNA is filed under the name uncultured bacterium. RNAcentral describes it as "bacterial SSU rRNA". It matches the Rfam family "Bacterial small subunit ribosomal RNA", at positions 10 to 883 of the family's 1533-position model. The record is from RNAcentral.